CAUCCCCCGUACAGUUGUCAUGAAAGAGGAAAUUAGCUAUAAAGACCAGCCAAACCCCCUGGAACAGGCUCCCUCUACUCUGUGCAGAAGUGCGCCAUGUUUCCAACUUGUCUGUGCUGUUUCCUGAUUGGCUGUUGAGAAACAGCUACAUCCUGACGUUCUAAUACUGCAGUUGGUGAUUUGAGACCUCAGGCGACAGCUACAGACGCUCUACAACUAACCAGUGAAUCAUCGAUCUGAACCACAAAAGGUGCUGACAGGAAAACACAACAACAUUUUUGUUUUUUUUACAAUUACACCCUAAAUCUACUCAUGUCACUGCCGGCUUCCUUGACGGUCUGGUUAACCAAUCAGUGAAGACACAACACACAUGAUUACAUCACAGACUGGAGGACUUCACAUCAGAUCAAUGACGAUCAGAUUCAGAACAGCGAGUGUUGUGUUUCACAUCGAUCCCCUUCUCUGUGAGAGCUCUUCUUCUUCAGGACACACAUUAAAUAUUUACAUGAUUAAA
This is a long non-coding RNA of Thunnus maccoyii (southern bluefin tuna), 514 nucleotides long. RefSeq lists it as uncharacterized. Lineage: Eukaryota; Metazoa; Chordata; Actinopteri; Scombriformes; Scombridae. The record is from RefSeq and is a predicted model, not a curated record. The transcript has 2 exons.